This 468-nucleotide ribosomal RNA is filed under the name uncultured bacterium. RNAcentral describes it as "partial 16S ribosomal RNA". It matches the Rfam family "Bacterial small subunit ribosomal RNA", at positions 28 to 507 of the family's 1533-position model. The record is from RNAcentral.
GACGAACGCUGGCGGCGUGCUUAACACAUGCAAGUCGAACGGAAAGGCCCUGCUUUUGUGGGGUGCUCGAGUGGCGAACGGGUGAGUAACACGUGAGUAACCUGCCCUUGACUUUGGGAUAACUUCAGGAAACUGGGGCUAAUCCCGGAUAGGAGCUCCUGCUGCAUGGUGGGGGUUGGAAAGUUUCGGCGGUUGGGGAUGGACUCGCGGCUUAUCAGCUUGUUGGUGGGGUAGUGGCUUACCAAGGCUUUGACGGGUAGCCGGCCUGAGAGGGUGACCGGCCACAUUGGGACUGAGAUACGGCCCAGACUCCUACGGGAGGCAGCAGUAGGGAAUAUUGCACAAUGGGCGGAAGCCUGAUGCAGCAACGCCGCGUGCGGGAUGACGGCCUUCGGGUUGUAAACCGCUUUCGCCUGUGACGAAGCGUGAGUGACGGUAAUGGGUAAAGAAGCACCGGCUAACUACGUG